CNANUCGCAAUGGGGGCACCCUGACGGAGCGACGCCGCGUGGAUGAUGAAGGCCGUAAGGUUGUAAAAUCCUUUUGUUGGUGAAGAAUAAGGAGGGGAGUGGAAAGCCCCUCUGAUGACGUUAGCCGACGAAUAAGCCCCGGCUAAUUACGUGCCAGCAGCCGCGGUAAUACGUAUGGGGCAAGCGUUGUUCGGAGUUAUUGGGCGUAAAGGGCGUGUAGGCGGCUCAUGAAGUCUGGUGUGAAAACGCAAGGCCUAACCUUGCGUAUGCGCUGGAAACUGGUGGGCUUGAGUUCUUGAGGGGAGGCUGGAAUUCCAGGUGUAGGGGUGAAAUCUGUAGAUAUCUGGAAGAACACCGGUGGCGAAGGCGAGCUUCUAUCAGAGGACUGACGCUGAGGCGCGAAAGCGUGGGGAGCAAACAGGAUUAGAUACCCUGGUAGUCCACGCUGUAAACGAUGUGCACUAGGCGUGGGGCACGUACGUGCUCUGUGCCGUAGCUAACGUGUUAAGUGCACCGCCUGGGGAGUAUGCUCGCAAGGGUGAAACUCAAAGAAAUUGACGGA
This 562-nucleotide ribosomal RNA is filed under the name uncultured bacterium. Its description in RNAcentral is "bacterial SSU rRNA". It matches the Rfam family "Bacterial small subunit ribosomal RNA", at positions 359 to 917 of the family's 1533-position model. The record is from RNAcentral.